CAUUGGUUCCUUCGCGACGAUAAACUACAAACCCCGCCAGGCCCGGAAGGGAGCAACGGUAGUAGUGGAUUCGGGUGCCGAAGUGCGCUGGUGUGG
This 96-nucleotide signal recognition particle RNA is filed under the name Leucothrix sp. RNAcentral describes it as "signal recognition particle sRNA small type". It matches the Rfam family "Bacterial small signal recognition particle RNA". From Rfam's summary of the family: The signal recognition particle (SRP) is a universally conserved ribonucleoprotein involved in the co-translational targeting of proteins to membranes. Archaeal SRP consists of a 7S RNA and homologues of the eukaryotic SRP19 and SRP54 proteins. The record is from RNAcentral. Lineage: Bacteria; Pseudomonadati; Pseudomonadota; Gammaproteobacteria; Thiotrichales; Thiotrichaceae.